RNAcentral lists this ribosomal RNA (429 nucleotides) under Actinomycetes bacterium. RNAcentral's name for it is "Actinobacteria bacterium partial 16S ribosomal RNA". It matches the Rfam family "Bacterial small subunit ribosomal RNA", at positions 355 to 776 of the family's 1533-position model. Lineage: Bacteria; Bacillati; Actinomycetota; Actinomycetes. The record is from RNAcentral.
UAGGGAAUCUUCCGCAAUGGGCGAAAGCUUGACGGAGCAACGCCGCGUGAGUGAUGAAGGUCUUCGGAUUGUAAAACUCUGUUAUUAGGGAAGAACAAAUGUGUAAGUAACUAUGCACGUCUUGACGGUACCUAAUCAGAAAGCCACGGCUAACUACGUGCCAGCAGCCGCGGUAAUACGUAGGUGGCAAGCGUUAUCCGGAAUUAUUGGGCGUAAAGCGCGCGUAGGCGGUUUUUUAAGUCUGAUGUGAAAGCCCACGGCUCAACCGUGGAGUGUCAUUUGAGACUGUAAAACUUGAGUGCAGCAGAGGAGAGUAGAAUUCCAUGUGUAGCGGUGAAAUGCGCAGAGAUAUGGAGGAACACCAGUGGCGAAGGCGACUUUCUGGUCUGAUACUGACGCUGAUGUGCGAAAGCGUGGGGAUCAAACAGG